AGCAUUAUACCGUGAAACUGCGAAUGGCUCAUUAAAUCAGUUAUCGUUUAUUUGAUAGUACCUUACUACUUGGAUAACCGUGGUAAUUCUAGAGCUAAUACAUGCUAAAAACCCCAACUUCGGGAGGGGUGUAUUUAUUAGAUAAAAAACCAACGCCCUUCGGGGCUCCUUGGUGAUUCAUAAUAACUUAACGGAUCGCAUGGCCUUGCGCCGGCGACGGUUCAUUCAAAUUUCUGCCCUAUCAACUUUCGAUUGUAGGGUAUUGGCCUACAAUGGUUUCAACGGGUAACGGGGAAUUAGGGUUCGAUUCCGGAGAGGGAGCCUGAGAAACGGCUACCACAUCCAAGGAAGGCAGCAGGCGCGCAAAUUACCCAAUCCCGACACGGGGAGGUAGUGACAAUAAAUACUGAUACAGGGCUCUUUUGGGUCUUGUAAUUGGAAUGAGUACAAUUUAAACCCCUUAACGAGGAACAAUUGGAGGGCAAGUCUGGUGCCAGCAGCCGCGGUAAUUCCAGCUCCAAUAGCGUAUAUUAAAGUUGUUGCAGUUAAAAAGCUCGUAGUUGAACCUUGGGCCUGGCUGGCCGGUCCGCCUCACCGCGUGCACUGGUCCGGCCGGGCCUUUCCUUCUGGAGAGCCGCAUGCCCUUCACUGGGUGUGUCGGGGAACCAGGACUUUUACUUUGAAAAAAUUAGAGUGUUCAAAGCAGGCCUUUGCUCGAAUACGUUAGCAUGGAAUAAUAGAAUAGGACGUGCGGUCCUAUUUUGUUGGUUUCUAGGACCGCCGUAAUGAUUAAUAGGGAUAGUCGGGGGCAUCAGUAUUCAAUUGUCAGAGGUGAAAUUCUUGGAUUUAUUGAAGACUAACUACUGCGAAAGCAUUUGCCAAGGAUGUUUUCAUUAAUCAGUGAACGAAAGUUAGGGGAUCGAAGACGAUCAGAUACCGUCGUAGUCUUAACCGUAAACUAUGCCGACUAGGGAUCGGGCGAUGUUAUUAUUUUGACUCGCUCGGCACCUUACGAGAAAUCAAAGUUUUGGGUC
This 1034-nucleotide ribosomal RNA is filed under the name Hysterobrevium constrictum. RNAcentral describes it as "SSU rRNA". It matches the Rfam family "Eukaryotic small subunit ribosomal RNA", at positions 68 to 1112 of the family's 1831-position model. The record is from RNAcentral. Lineage: Eukaryota; Fungi; Ascomycota; Dothideomycetes; Hysteriales; Hysteriaceae.